GAGAAUGCCGGUGUGAGUAGCGAAAGACGGGUGAGAAUCCCGUCCACCGAUUGACUAAGGUUUCCAGAGGAAGGCUCGUCCGCUCUGGGUUAGUCGGGUCCUAAGCUGAGGCCGACAGGCGUAGGCGAUGGAUAACAGGUUGAUAUUCCUGUACCACCUAUAAUCGUUUUAAUCGAUGGGGGGACGCAGUAGGAUAGGCGAAGCGUGCGAUUGGAUUGCACGUCUAAGCAGUAAGGCUGAGUAUUAGGCAAAUCCGGUACUCGUUAAGGCUGAGCUGUGAUGGGGAGAAGACAUUGUGUCUUCGAGUCGUUGAUUUCACACUGCCGAGAAAAGCCUCUAGAUAGAAAAUAGGUGCCCGUACCGCAAACCGACACAGGUAGUCAAGAUGAGAAUUCUAAGGUGAGCGAGCGAACUCUCGUUAAGGAACUCGGCAAAAUGACCCCGUAACUUCGGGAGAAGGGGUGCUCUUUAGGGUUAACGCCCAGAAGAGCCGCAGUGAAUAGGCCCAAGCGACUGUUUAUCAAAAACACAGGUCUCUGCUAAACCGUAAGGUGAUGUAUAGGGGCUGACGCCUGCCCGGUGCUGGAAGGUUAAGAGGAGUGGUUAGCUUCUGCGAAGCUACGAAUCGAAGCCCCAGUAAACGGCGGCCGUAACUAUAACGGUCCUAAGGUAGCGAAAUUCCUUGUCGGGUAAGUUCCGACCCGCACGAAAGGCGUAACGAUUUGGGCACUGUCUCAACGAGAGACUCGGUGAAAUCAUAGUACCUGUGAAGAUGCAGGUUACCCGCGACAGGACGGAAAGACCCCGUGGAGCUUUACUGUAGCCUGAUAUUGAAAUUCGGCACAGCUUGUACAGGAUAGGUAGGAGCCUUUGAAACGUGAGCGCUAGCUUACGUGGAGGCGCUGGUGG
This 909-nucleotide ribosomal RNA is filed under the name Staphylococcus aureus. RNAcentral describes it as "partial 23S ribosomal RNA". It matches the Rfam family "Bacterial large subunit ribosomal RNA", at positions 1290 to 2195 of the family's 2925-position model. The record is from RNAcentral. Lineage: Bacteria; Bacillati; Bacillota; Bacilli; Caryophanales; Staphylococcaceae.